UCCACCUCCUCUGCCACCUCCUCCUCCUCUGUCACCUCCCCCACCUCCCCUUCCUCCCCUCUGCCAUCCCCCUUCUCUCCCUCUCCAUCUCCUUCACCUUUGAGCUCCUCAUCCUCCACCUCCCCUCCUCCCAGUGGUGACAGCAAACCAAUGAGACUGUCUCUGUCCAGCCCUGAGCUCAUCACAGAGCUGAAACAGUCGAGGAGCCGCUCCCUCCGUCACGUCCCCACCCACAACGGACUGACCACCGUCUUCUCCGGACGGGGACGAAGACAGUCCACUGGUACCACUCCCUCCAAACACUCAGCCAAUCAGAAGAGCUCACCCUGACUUCAUCAGCACCUGGACUCUGCUGCUCUGUAACUAAUCUCACUUUAAUGAUCAUUUCCAUUUGAUACCAGAAUGUAACGGACUGAAAGAAAGUUUCCUGACGUCUAACAUGAACCAACACUGUUCUGUCCAAAAGAAGCUCCGCCCCUCUGCUUUGGGUCUCACGCUGCACACAAACAGUUUACAGUAACAGCAUAAUAAUUAUUGAUUUAAUGAUUGAUGAGUGAACAAAAGCAAUGUCUCAUUUCAAGUCAAUGAUUUCUACUUUAGCUGAAAUGAGCUAACGGACGAUCACAAGUUAACCAGAAGCUUCGUCUCCAGCUGAGUUUUUAAUGUUUUCAGGUGAUUCCUUUUAAAAGCUGAUCACCUGUGAAGCUUUAAUCAUUCCUACUUCAUAUCAUGUGUGUGUCUUCUGGUUUCUAUUGAGCUGUUUUAUGGGUUUUUUUAAUGUUAUGGUAACAUUUAUGUCUAACACUGUACACAGUCCCUUACAAAUAUAAUAAAUAAAGCUAACGGGUAAAAAGUCGUGGCUCUACAGAAUCUGAUUAAUCACUCGUUGGUCAUUUUUCCAUUCUCUGAUUCAGCUUCUUAAAUGUGAAAUGUUCUGGUUUCUUCCUCUGUGACAGUGAACUGAACAUCUUUGGGACACUGAUAGACAUUUUUCACCAUUUUCUGACAUUUUAUUUUAUGGACCAAACAAAGAUUAAUAAUCAGUAAUGAACAUAAUUGUUAGUUGCAGCUCUAGUCUGAAGUCGGUGUGAGGUUUACAAGGUGCCAACCAAUGAAAACAAUAAAGGGUACAGUGGUAUUUUAUCACAGAAGAAGAAGAACAAACACAUUAAUAACACACUGAGAACUACAAUAAGUAAGACGUAAGUCAGCAACAAUCAUUCAAAUCAACUCUUAUUAACAGAAAACCCAAAAUACUGUGUCAUGGUUUGUUCAUGAGUGUCCAUGUGAAAAUAAAUGGUUGAAUGAAUAAAUGGAUGUUUGUAUCUCAGCUCCUGUUUUUAAC
Scomber japonicus (chub mackerel) is the source of this 1345-nucleotide long non-coding RNA. RefSeq lists it as uncharacterized. The record is from RefSeq and is a predicted model, not a curated record. The transcript is spliced from 3 exons. Lineage: Eukaryota; Metazoa; Chordata; Actinopteri; Scombriformes; Scombridae.